Transfer RNA from Camelus ferus (Wild Bactrian camel), 72 nucleotides. It matches the Rfam family "tRNA". Rfam says of the family: Transfer RNA (tRNA) molecules are approximately 80 nucleotides in length. Their secondary structure includes four short double-helical elements and three loops (D, anti-codon, and T loops). Further hydrogen bonds mediate the characteristic L-shaped molecular structure. tRNAs have two regions of fundamental functional importance: the anti-codon, which is responsible for specific mRNA codon recognition, and the 3' end, to which the tRNAs corresponding amino acid is attached (by aminoacyl-tRNA synthetases). tRNAs cope with the degeneracy of the genetic code in two manners: having more than one tRNA (with a specific anti-codon) for a particular amino acid; and 'wobble' base-pairing, i.e. permitting non-standard base-pairing at the 3rd anti-codon position. The record is from Rfam. Lineage: Eukaryota; Metazoa; Chordata; Mammalia; Artiodactyla; Camelidae.
GAGGGUAUAGCUCAGUGGUAGAGCACAUGCUUAGCAUGCAUUUGGUCCUGGGUUCAAUCCCCAGUACUGCCA